RNAcentral lists this ribosomal RNA (424 nucleotides) under Verrucomicrobiota bacterium. RNAcentral describes it as "Verrucomicrobia bacterium partial 16S ribosomal RNA". It matches the Rfam family "Bacterial small subunit ribosomal RNA", at positions 355 to 776 of the family's 1533-position model. Lineage: Bacteria; Pseudomonadati; Verrucomicrobiota. The record is from RNAcentral.
UGAGGAAUAUUGGUCAAUGGACGAGAGUCUGAACCAGCCAAGUAGCGUGCAGGAUGACGGCCCUAUGGGUUGUAAACUGCUUUUGUUUGGGAAUAAUCGACAUUACGUGUAAUGUUUUGCAUGUACCAUUCGAAUAAGGACCGGCUAAUUCCGUGCCAGCAGCCGCGGUAAUACGGAAGGUCCAGGCGUUAUCCGGAUUUAUUGGGUUUAAAGGGAGUGUAGGCGGUUGGUUAAGCGUGUUGUGAAAUGUAGAUGCUCAACAUCUGACUUGCAGCGCGAACUGGCUGACUUGAGUACACACAACGUAGGCGGAAUUCAUGGUGUAGCGGUGAAAUGCGCAGAUAUCGGGAGGAACACCGACGGCGAAGGCAGCCCUCUGGGCCUUCACUGACGCUGAGGCGCGAAAGCUGGGGGAGCGAACAGG